GCUGGCGGCAGGCUUAACACAUGCAAGUCGAGCGCCCCGCAAGGGGAGCGGCAGACGGGUGAGUAACGCGUGGGAAUCUACCCAUCACUACGGAACAACUCCGGGAAACUGGAGCUAAUACCGUAUACGUCCUUCGGGAGAAAGAUUUAUCGGUGAUGGAUGAGCCCGCGUUGGAUUAGCUAGUUGGUGGGGUAAAGGCCAACCAAGGCGACGAUCCAUAGCUGGUCUGAGAGGAUGAUCAGCCACAUUGGGACUGAGACACGGCCCAAACUCCUACGGGAGGCAGCAGUGGGGAAUAUUGGACAAUGGGCGCAAGCCUGAUCCAGCCAUGCCGCGUGAGUGAUGAAGGCCCUAGGGUUGUAAAGCUCUUUCACCGGAGAAGAUAAUGACGGUAUCCGGAGAAGAAGCCCCGGCUAACUUCGUGCCAGCAGCCGCGGUAAUACGAAGGGGGCUAGCGUUGUUCGGAUUUACUGGGCGUAAAGCGCACGUAGGCGGAUCGAUCAGUCAGGGGUGAAAUCCCAGAGCUCAACUCUGGAACUACCUUUGAUACUGUCGAUCUGGAGUAUGGAAGAGGUGAGUGGAAUUCCGAGUGUAGAGGUGAAAUUCGUAGAUAUUCGGAGGAACACCAGUGGCGAAGGCGGCUCACUGGUCCAUUACUGACGCUGAGGUGCGAAAGCGUGG
This 681-nucleotide ribosomal RNA is filed under the name uncultured bacterium. RNAcentral's name for it is "bacterial SSU rRNA". It matches the Rfam family "Bacterial small subunit ribosomal RNA", at positions 35 to 764 of the family's 1533-position model. The record is from RNAcentral.